AACGAACGCUGGCGGCGUGGAUAAGACAUGCAAGUCGAACGGAGAUCUUGAAUAGCUUGCUAAUUAAGAUCUUAGUGGCGGACGGGUUAGUAACACGUGAGAACCUACCCUUUAGACAGGAAUAGCCCAUGGAAACGUGGAUUAAUGCCUGAUAGUCUCUACGGAGUAAAUGGUGCCUCCAGGUAUCGCUAGAGGAUGGGCUCGCGGCCUAUCAGCUUGUUGGUGAGGUAAAGGCUCACCAAGGCGACGACGGGUAGCUGGUCUGAGAGGACGAUCAGCAACACUGGAACUGAGACACGGUCCAGACACCUACGGGUGGCAGCAGUCGAGAAUCAUUCACAAUGGAGGCAACUCUGAUGGUGCAACGCCGCGUGGAGGAUGACGGUCCUAGGAUUGUAAACUCCUGUCAUUGGGGAGUAAGACUUAAGCGUUAAGAGCGUUUAAGUUUGAUAGUACCCAAAGAGGAAGGGACGGCUAACUUCGUGCCAGCAGCCGCGGUAAUACGAAGGUCCCAAGCGUUGUUCGGAAUCACUGGGCGUAAAGCGUGUGUAGGCUGCGCGGA
RNAcentral lists this ribosomal RNA (562 nucleotides) under uncultured bacterium. RNAcentral's name for it is "bacterial SSU rRNA". It matches the Rfam family "Bacterial small subunit ribosomal RNA", at positions 28 to 584 of the family's 1533-position model. The record is from RNAcentral.